Molecule: unclassified non-coding RNA, 305 nt
Filed under: plant metagenome
Description: partial contains 5.8S ribosomal RNA, internal transcribed spacer 2, and large subunit ribosomal RNA
Rfam family: 5.8S ribosomal RNA (bases 1-105)
Source: RNAcentral
GAAAUGCGAUAAGUAAUGUGAAUUGCAGAAUUCAGUGAAUCAUUGAAUCUUUGAACGCACAUUGCGCCCGCCAGUAUUCUGGCGGGCAUGCCUGUUCGAGCGUCAUUUCAACCAUCAAGCCCCGGGCUUGUGUUGGGGACCUGCGGCUGCCGCAGGCCCUGAAAACCAGUGGCGGGCUCGCUGUCACACCGAGCGUAGUAGAUUCUCAUCUCGCUCAGGGCGUGCUGCGGGUUCCGGCCGUAAAACAGCCUUAUUUUACCCAAGGUUGACCUCGGAUCAGGUAGGAAUACCCGCUGAACUUAAGC